UACAGAGGUCUCAAGCGUUGUUCGGAUUCAUUGGGCGUAAAGGGUGCGUAGGUGGCGUGGUAAGUCGGGUGUGAAAUUUCGGAGCUUAACUCCGAAACUGCAUUCGAUACUGCUGUGCUUGAGGACUGGAGAGGAGACUGGAAUUUACGGUGUAGCAGUGAAAUGCGUAGAGAUCGUAAGGAAGACCAGUGGCGAAGGCGGGUCUCUGGACAGUUCCUGACGCUGAGGCACGAAGGUCAGGGGAGCAAACGGG
This 253-nucleotide ribosomal RNA is filed under the name uncultured bacterium. RNAcentral describes it as "partial 16S ribosomal RNA". It matches the Rfam family "Bacterial small subunit ribosomal RNA", at positions 524 to 776 of the family's 1533-position model. The record is from RNAcentral.